Molecule: long non-coding RNA, 253 nt
Organism: Oncorhynchus keta (chum salmon)
Lineage: Eukaryota; Metazoa; Chordata; Actinopteri; Salmoniformes; Salmonidae
Exons: 3
Source: RefSeq, a predicted model, not a curated record
CACGGGAGCAAAACAUUUUGCAACUAAAAGGGCCCGUCCCUGUUCUAUAUAUAAUUUAUUUAACUAAAACAUUUUCUUCUGUUUGGUCUUCACCUGGGAGUUACUGGUGCUGCCAUAGUUGUGAUGUCUGGCCAUGGAGGUGACUGGUGCUGCCAUAGUUGUGAUGUCUGGCCAUGGAGGUGACUGGUGCUGCCAUAGUUGUGAUGUCUGGCCAUGGAGGUGACUGGUGCUGCCAUAGUUGUGAUGUCUGGUG